Molecule: long non-coding RNA, 497 nt
Organism: Daphnia pulicaria
Lineage: Eukaryota; Metazoa; Arthropoda; Branchiopoda; Diplostraca; Daphniidae
Exons: 3
Source: RefSeq, a predicted model, not a curated record
UAGACAAAGAGAAUGAUUAUGUUAUCUUAAACAGAAAAGUUACUACUGCUACAAAUUUGUCAAAUGUUAGUUCCUGACUGUAGCUUCAUCGUAUUUGAGGGCAGAGCCAUCCAUCGGAAUCACAAGAUAUGCCAGUUCUGUUAGUGCUGGUAUGGACAUCACUAACAAUGCAGUAUCAUCAUCUCUGGGAUAAACAGCAUCCUGUUUCAAUGGAGAAACUACCGAUGUCGGCCAAGUACGUCGUCAACCCCUUUUUAAAAAAUGUCCUUGUGAAUGUGGGUGUAUUCACGUGGAUUUCCUAUCCUGCCUCUUGACUGCGGAUGGAACACUUGUACACACUGAGAUGCCUGGCCGUUUUUCCCAGGCUUAAAGGUAAGACAAAUUUAUGACUGAUUUCUCUUGCCCUUUUUUGUUUACACUCGGUAAGGGUCAAGUUCGCUCCCCCGCUCGUUAAGGCUAGAAACAUGCAAACGAAAUUACAUUUGACCUUUUGACGC